GCGGAUGAGAGGAGCUUGCUCCUGGAUUCAGCGGCGGACGGGUGAGUAAUGCCUAGGAAUCUGCCUGGUAGUGGGGGACAACGUUUCGAAAGGAACGCUAAUACCGCAUACGUCCUACGGGAGAAAGCAGGGGACCUUCGGGCCUUGCGCUAUCAGAUGAGCCUAGGUCGGAUUAGCUAGUUGGUGAGGUAAUGGCUCACCAAGGCGACGAUCCGUAACUGGUCUGAGAGGAUGAUCAGUCAUACUGGAACUGAGACACGGUCCAGACUCCUACGGGAGGCAGCAGUGGGGAAUAUUGGACAAUGGGCGAAAGCCUGAUCCAGCCAUGCCGCGUGUGUGAAGAAGGUCUUCGGAUUGUAAAGCACUUUAAGUUGGGAGGAAGGGUUGUAGAUUAAUACUCUGCAAUUUUGACGUUACCGACAGAAUAAGCACCGGCUAACUCUGUGCCAGCAGCCGCGGUAAUACAGAGGGUGCAAGCGUUAAUCGGAAUUACUGGGCGUAAAGCGCGCGUAGGUGGUUCG
This 521-nucleotide ribosomal RNA is filed under the name earthworm cast bacterium C29M1. RNAcentral describes it as "bacterial SSU rRNA". It matches the Rfam family "Bacterial small subunit ribosomal RNA", at positions 66 to 582 of the family's 1533-position model. The record is from RNAcentral.